This is a long non-coding RNA of Syngnathus typhle (broad-nosed pipefish), 523 nucleotides long. RefSeq lists it as uncharacterized. The record is from RefSeq and is a predicted model, not a curated record. The transcript has 2 exons. NCBI's taxonomy places the organism in Eukaryota, Metazoa, Chordata, Actinopteri, Syngnathiformes, Syngnathidae.
GUCGAUCUUUUUUUUCACAGUUGGAGUGCCUGGGAGAGCGGAGGCUUCGUGGCCGUUUGUCUGCCGUCGAUCAUCGGACACAAAGUAUGGCUGCGGAUCGAGAGGUGGUACCCAUGCUGACAGCGGCUAUCUGGAUUCUCGUGGCCAAUUCAGGAUAGGGGAACUGCAGCUCAACCUCCUCGAAGAGCACUGCCAGGACAAUUGAGGGCUCCUUUCGGCAGCCCUCUGCUGUGACAUGGACAUCCACUUUUUAUUUAAUUGAUUUUCAUGUUGUAUCAUUUGUGCCCUCUCUGCAUCCAUUUCAACCUGGUGAUCCUGAAAGGGGGAUCCUUCCAUCUGUGGUCCCUUCUCAAGGUUUCUCAUUUUCCCCCUGCUAGGGGUUUUUAAGUUUUUCCUUGCCCUUUUGGGAGCUUAAGAUCAGGGGAUGCUUUGAGAAUAAUUGUCAAUUUCUGUCUAUGUGAAGCCCUUUGAGACUGCUUGUGAUUUAGGGCUAUACAAAUAAACUUGACUUGACUUGACUUGA